This 571-nucleotide ribosomal RNA is filed under the name uncultured bacterium. RNAcentral's name for it is "bacterial SSU rRNA". It matches the Rfam family "Bacterial small subunit ribosomal RNA", at positions 78 to 651 of the family's 1533-position model. The record is from RNAcentral.
CACCGAGUUGGUUCCUAGCGGCGAACGGGUGAGUAACACGUGGGCAACCUACCCCCGACACCGGGAUAAGCCUGGGAAACUGGGUCUAAUACCGGAUACGAGCUCCCACCGCAUGGCGGGAGCUGGAAAGGGUCUCCGGUCGGGGAUGGGCCCGCGGCCUAUCAGCUUGUUGGCGGGGUCACGGCCCACCAAGGCGACGACGGGUAGCCGGCCUGAGAGGGUGGACGGCCACACUGGGACUGAGACACGGCCCAGACUCCUACGGGAGGCAGCAGUGGGGAAUCUUGCGCAAUGGCCUAACGGCUGACGCAGCGACGCCGCGUGAGGGAUGACGCUCUUCGGAGUGUAAACCUCUUUUGCCUGAGACGAAUUGCCAGCUUUAGCUGGUUUGACUGUAUCGGGUGAAUAAGCACCGGCUAACUCCGUGCCAGCAGCCGCGGUAAUACGGGGGGUGCGAGCGUUGUCCGGAAUCACUGGGCGUAAAGGGCGCGUAGGUGGUCUGAUAAGGGUGUGGUGAAAGCCCGGGGCUCAACCCCGGGUCGGCCGUGCCGACUGUUAGACUAGAGUACUG